AGAACUCUCUGCCCUGAGCCUGUAACCGUCAGACAAUCCCACGUUUCCUCACCAAAGCCCCAAAGGCCCAUAUCUCUCCUCACUCUCCGAUAUCAGUGGGACCCUCUUCUCUUAUCACAGUGCAGUGAAAGACCUCUGGACUUCGUCACGGGUGCCACUGGGACCCCCAGACCGUUGUUCGCUGAGCCAGGAAGAACAGAGAGCAAAGGUGACAAUUGCCUCCCCCCCCAAAAAAACCCGACAAGCUCAAACCUCAUUCACACACUCGUCCUCUGGGCAAAGCGACAGCCAUUUAAAAUAAUCUAACGUGGAUCUUCCUGGAAUGACACGAAUAGGAGUUGAGGAUUGGUUACUCCCUGCUCCCUGCGGCCACCCCUGCUGGAAGCCCGCCAGGAACCAAAUCAGUUGAACAGUCUCUUUAAAAGAAAUGGAGAUUAGCAGGUGUUAAAGGCAGAUUAGCAACCAAAUGAGUUUCUCCCUGGCACAAUCAGUAUUCAAAGAGGACGGGCUUCGGGGAGAACAUGGACCGCUGCUGGCAGCCUGUUCUGGCAAGACGACGUGGUGCCUGGAUUCGCCAGGACUUAGAGAGCUCAAGACACCCGCGUGCCUGGUGUUGGCAGCAGGCAGCGCCGUCCCGGAGCCCCACCUUAUCUGUGGAAUAGCUCCUGUCCCCAGCUCCACCUGGGUCGUUCCCACUGGUUCUGUGAUGACCCCACACUGCAAAGCCCUGGCCUCAGCUGACCAGCCAGGCUGAGCUCCUGAAGCAUUUCCGGCCCAUGAGCACCUUUCUUUAGGAAUUUUGGAAUCAAGAGAAGGAAAACCACAGCCAUCUCUCCAGAAUCGGUCAGAGCUCUCAGUACCGUGAACGAGGGAUAGAGGUAGACGCGACCUGCAACAUUUCCCAAACUCCAAGAACCAGGCAACUCCUGAACCUGGGAGUUCCGCCGCCCUCGUGUUCUUCCAAAUCCACCACAGGAGAUUCCGAUCUGAGUCCUUCUGUGGGAUCAAGCAUCGAUGAGGUCGUGAAGCAGAUAAGAACCACAUGAAGAUCCCACUUCCCACCCCGAGGAUGACCAGGACCACAGAUUGAUACGACGACAACGAGAGUUGGCAAGGACGCAGAGGAACGGGACCCUCCCACCUGGCUGGUGAGACGGUGAAAACAUGCAGCUGCUCUGGGAGAAGUCUAGAAGCUUCUUAUGAAGAUCCAACGUGCAGCAUGACCCAGAGAUUCCGACUCCUAGAAGGAAAAUACCUCUCUGCAUGUAAACGUUCCCAGCAGCUUUAUUCAAAAUAGACCCAAAUAAGAAACGACCCAAAUGCCCGUCCGGGGGUGAGUGGGUGAGUGCGAUCUGUCUUUUCAAGGUUGUUAUCAACCAGCAACAAAGAGGCAGGUGGAGCCGAUCCACAUGAACCUCAAGCGCAUCCCGAUAAGGGGACAAAGCCAGGCAGGAAAGACCCCUUGUUGUAUGGUCCCAUUUGUAGGAGAAGCCCCAAAUGGUAAACACAGAAAGGGAGUAGGUUGGUGGCCGCCGGGGGAUGGGACAGGGACUAUGUAUAAAUGGGCAGGAGAGAUCUCACUGAAGGGACGCAACUAUUCUAAGACUAGAUUGUGGUCAUGGCUGCCGAACGGUAAAUUUUCACAAAAUAAAUAAAAAUCAUGACAUUUCAAA
This is a long non-coding RNA of Ictidomys tridecemlineatus (thirteen-lined ground squirrel), 1673 nucleotides long. RefSeq lists it as uncharacterized. Lineage: Eukaryota; Metazoa; Chordata; Mammalia; Rodentia; Sciuridae. The record is from RefSeq and is a predicted model, not a curated record.